Molecule: ribosomal RNA, 598 nt
Filed under: uncultured bacterium
Lineage: Bacteria
Description: bacterial SSU rRNA
Rfam family: Bacterial small subunit ribosomal RNA
Source: RNAcentral
AAACUCAAAGGAAUUGACGGGGGCCNGCACAAGCGGCGGAGCAUGUUGCUUAAUUCGACGCAACGCGAAGAACCUUACCAAGGUUUGACAUGCAGGGGAAAGCCGUAGAGAUACGGUGUCCGUAAGGGUCCUGCACAGGUGGUGCAUGGCUGUCGUCAGCUCGUGUCGUGAGAUGUUGGGUUAAGUCCCGCAACGAGCGCAACCCUCGUCCUAUGUUGCCAGCGGGUAAUGCCGGGGACUCAUAGGGGACUGCCGGGGUCAACUCGGAGGAAGGUGGGGAUGAGGUCAAGUCAUCAUGCCCCUUAAGUCUUGGGCUGCAAACAUGCUACAAUGGCCGGUACAGAGGGCUGCGAAACCGCAAGGUGGAGCGAAUCUCAAAAAGCCGGUCUCAGUUCGGAUUGGGGUCUGCAACUCGACCCCAUGAAGUCGGAGUCGCUAGUAAUCGCGAAUCAGCAACGUCGCGGUGAAUACGUUCCCGGGCCUUGUACACACCGCCCGCCACGUCAGGAAAGUCGGCAACACCCGAAGCCGGUGGCCCAACCCUUUUGGGAGGGAGCCGUCGAAGGUGGGGCGGGCGAUUCGGACGAAGUCGUAACAA